AAUCAGAUGCGGUUGCUGGGCGGAACAGAAUCAACUGACGAAUUGGCAUUGGCAACGUCACGUGUCGUCAUCAGUCAUGACUUCCUGUGCGGAGCGUAGAGAGGUACAGAUUAAAACCAACGCCUGAGGCCUUGGCUCGGUUUGUUAGUGGAGUGAGAACACUUAAUCACCGAAGAAACCUGGGUGCUAAAACAACCUUUGCAGCUUUUUUGUCCGACGCAAGUGGGGCUGGACGCUGAACAUACCCGCGGCAUGAAGGUGUCAUCACUUCAUCCACGACUUCGUCCAUGAUCGCAGAGACAUGGUCCAUGAUCGGAGAGACAUUGUUGAGGAUGAGGGAGACAUCGUCCACGAUCAGAGACGUCGUCUGUGAUCACAGAGACCUUGUCAAAGAUGAGAGAGACGUUGUCCAUGAUCAGAGACAUUGUCCCAUGCUUCGUAGAGACCUUGCGAUAGAAUCGGCGGAGACGGGGGUCACCGAUUUGACGGCACUGCCCGCGAUCAUGGAGACAUUGUCAAUGGUCAAAGAGACAGCGUCUAGGAUCUCAGAGACAUCGUCCACGAUCACAAAGACAUUGUCCAUGAUCACAGAGACUUUGUCCAUAAUCUCAGAGACAUUGUCCGCGAUCACAGAGACGUAGUCCACGAUCAGAGUCUUCAUACAGUGAAGAAGUUCUUCAAGACCAGGACAGAGGCCUCCAGGUGUCACCACUUCGUCCAUGAUCACAGAGACAUGGUCCAUGAUCGGUGAGACAUUGUUGAGGAUGAGGGAGACAUCGUCCACGAUCAGAGACGUCGUCUAUGAUCGCAGAGACCUUGUCAAAGACGAGAGAGACGUUGUCCAUGAUCAGAGACAUUGUCCCAUGCUUCGUAGAGACCUUGCGAUAGAAUCGGCGGAGACGGGGGUCACCGAUUUGACGGCACUGCCCGCGAUCAUGAAGACAUUGUCAAUGGUCAAAGAGACAGCGUCUAGGAUCUCAGAGACAUCGUCCACGAUCACAAAGACAUUGUCCAUGAUCACAGAGACUUUGUCCAUAAUCUCAGAGACAUUGUCCGCGAUCACAGAGACGUAGUCCACGAUCAGAGUCUUCAUACAGUGAAGAAGUUCUUCGAGACCAGGACAGAGGCCUCCAGGUGUCACCACUUCGUCCAUGAUCGCAGAGACAUGGUCCAUGAUCGGAGAGACAUUGGUGAGGAUGAGGGAGACAUCGUCCACGAUCAGAGACGUCGUCUAUGAUCGCAGAGACCUUGUCAAAGACGAGAGAGACGUUGUCCAUGAUCAGAGACAUUGUCCCAUGCUUCGUAGAGACCUUGCGAUAGAAUCGGCGGAGACGGGGGUCACCGAUUUGAAGGCAUUGCCCGCGAUCAUGAAGACAUUGUCAAUGGUCAAAGAGACAGCGUCUAGGAUCUCAGAGACAUCGUCCACGAUCACAAAGACAUUGUCCAUGAUCACAGAGACUUUGUCCAUAAUCUCAGAGACAUUGUCCGUGAUCACAGAGACGGAGUCCACGAUCAGAGUCUUCAUACAGCAAAGAAGUUCUUCGAGACCAGGACAGAGGCCUCCAGUCGACAAUCACAUCGUCCAUGAUCACAGAGAGUCUUCGUACAAUUAAGAAAUUCUUUGAGACCAGGACAGACCAGAGGCCUCCAGAUACACGGGGGAGAAGGAGAGAGGGAAAGGGAGUCAGUGCUCUGUGUUGCACAGAUGAUGUAAAGCUGUUUGUGAAUUACCUGGAGGCCUCUGUCCUGCUUUCAGAUAACUUCACUGUUGGAAGACUCUCUGUG
This is a long non-coding RNA of Lates calcarifer (barramundi perch), 1785 nucleotides long. RefSeq lists it as uncharacterized. The transcript has 6 exons. The record is from RefSeq and is a predicted model, not a curated record. NCBI's taxonomy places the organism in Eukaryota, Metazoa, Chordata, Actinopteri, Centropomidae.